Molecule: long non-coding RNA, 982 nt
Organism: Sinocyclocheilus anshuiensis
Lineage: Eukaryota; Metazoa; Chordata; Actinopteri; Cypriniformes; Cyprinidae
Exons: 2
Source: RefSeq, a predicted model, not a curated record
UACUGAAUAGAUCCAAUAUAUUCAUGCACAAUGUAUAGACUGCAAAAAACAACAAUUACAUUUUAGAUGUUACACACUCAUAUGAAUGUGCUUAAACAUCAAUUUGGCAAAUUCUAACUUUAUGAAAGGUUAAGAGAUUCUCGUAUUUCCAAUUAAUUUUAUGUGCUAUAUCCUGUGAUAUAUUUCACCCUGAAUUUACAUGCUAACAGCUGAAGUCACUAAAAAUGAAUAACUACUCCCUUAAAGUGCCAGGCUCUGUAUCUGAUGAACCAGGCGACUGCAUUUGAGACUAUUGGUGACAGAUGUCUGUGGGAUCUCACCUGCUGAGCACACUGAGAGUCGCAGGGGAGAGACCCUUUUACUCACAAACACUGUCACUGUCGAGGUAAUUAGUCCCUUCGGCGCCAAUGCUUUCAUGGAAGCCACAUUCAUUUUUAUAAAGUCAUCUAUUGUUGCAUACUGUUGCCAUUUCCAGUCUGUUGAUACUGAUGCAAAAGAGCUAACUGUGUAUAGUUAAAAAAAUUUUUUUUAAAAAUCAGUACAUCAAACGCAUCACAUUUUGCCUUAUUAAAAAUUAUGGCAGUGAAGGCUAUGUUAGUUCUAAAGCUUUAGCAAAAAUACACACAGUCCUGUGUACAUAAAACUGGGGAACAUAAAACUAGCCUUGAAAGCACACAAAAUCCACACACCUUUAAAAUAUCUAAAUACAUAAUUUGGCACAUAAUACAAGUCUUUUCCAUUAUUUAACACAUUGUUCUUUUGUAGCCACUCAAGGGGAUGGUGCUUUGCACACAGUAGUCACCUCUGGGGCACACUAGGGUAAAGAACUACACAGGGCAAAUAUAAUGAAGCCUGGAAAUAAAAUUGCAUAAAAUAGCCUUUGAAAAUUGGUCUGUGCUGCGUAACUACCGUACAUUGUACCAGAUUCACGCUGCUAUAAAGAGCUGUGCUACUAAGAUGACACAUAUUUGGUAAAAAAAAA